CCUACGGGUGGCUGCAGUGGGGAAUAUUGCACAAUGGGCGCAAGCCUGAUGCAGCCAUGCCGCGUGUGUGGAGAAGGCCUUCGGGUUGUAAAGCACUUUCAGCGGGGAGGAAGGCGGUGAGGUUAAUAACCUCAUCGAUUGACGUUACCCGCAGAAGAAGCACCGGCUAACUCCGUGCCAGCAGCCGCGGUGAUACGGAGGGUGCAAGCGUUAAUCGGAAUUACUGGGCGUAAAGCGCACGCAGGCGGUCUGUCAAGUCGGAUGUGAAAUCCCCGGGCUCAACCUGGGAACUGCAUUCGAAACUGGCAGGCUAGAGUCUUGUAGAGGGGGGUAGAAUUCCAGGUGUAGCGGUGAAAUGCGUAGAGAUCUGGAGGAAUACCGGUGGCGAAGGCGGCCCCCUGGACAAAGACUGACGCUCAGGUGCGAAAGCGUGGGGAGCAAACAGGAUUAGAUACCCCGGUAGUC
RNAcentral lists this ribosomal RNA (465 nucleotides) under uncultured Klebsiella sp. RNAcentral describes it as "bacterial SSU rRNA". It matches the Rfam family "Bacterial small subunit ribosomal RNA", at positions 338 to 795 of the family's 1533-position model. Lineage: Bacteria; Pseudomonadati; Pseudomonadota; Gammaproteobacteria; Enterobacterales; Enterobacteriaceae. The record is from RNAcentral.